UUUCCGUAGGUGAACCUGCGGAAGGAUCAUUAUUGAAAGAUGGGUUUUGUCUAUGGACUGGCCCGCUCUCUACCCACACUUGUGAAUUUACCCUGUUGCUUUGGUAGGUUCUCACGUUUGACUCUUGAGUCGGGUGUGAGUGAAAAUCUGCACAAGAUGCCUGCCAAAGGUUUUCCAAUAACCAUGUUUUUUAUGUCAAGUCAGACUUUGUUUUAAAUACAAAAUUGUAAUAACACUUUCAACAAUGGAUCUCUUGGCUCUGGCAUCGAUGAAGAACGCAGC
This 282-nucleotide unclassified non-coding RNA is filed under the name uncultured fungus. RNAcentral's name for it is "sequence contains ITS1, 5.8S rRNA gene". The stretch from base 234 to 282 matches the Rfam family "5.8S ribosomal RNA", at positions 1 to 49 of the family's 154-position model. The record is from RNAcentral. Lineage: Eukaryota; Fungi.